UACGUAGGUGGCAAGCGUUGUCCGGAAUCACUGGGCUUAAAGCGCGUGUAGGCGGGACGGCACGUCGGUCGCUGAAAGCCCCCGGCUCAACCGGGGAACGGGCGCCGAUACGACCGGCCUGGAGGGACGUAGGGGGACCUGGAACUUCCGGUGGAGCGGUGAAAUGCGUUGAGAUCGGAAGGAACGCCCGUGGCGAAAGCGAGGUCCUGGACGUUUUCUGACGCUGAGACGCGAAAGCCAGGGGAGCGAACGGG
This 254-nucleotide ribosomal RNA is filed under the name uncultured bacterium. Its description in RNAcentral is "partial 16S ribosomal RNA". It matches the Rfam family "Bacterial small subunit ribosomal RNA", at positions 524 to 776 of the family's 1533-position model. The record is from RNAcentral.